This 76-nucleotide transfer RNA is filed under the name Desulfobacteraceae bacterium. RNAcentral's name for it is "tRNA-His". It matches the Rfam family "tRNA". Rfam says of the family: Transfer RNA (tRNA) molecules are approximately 80 nucleotides in length. RNAcentral also lists the same sequence under 4 other names. Lineage: Bacteria; Pseudomonadati; Thermodesulfobacteriota; Desulfobacteria; Desulfobacterales; Desulfobacteraceae. The record is from RNAcentral.
GUGGGUGUAGCUCAGUUGGCAGAGCGCUAGGUUGUGGUCCUGGAUGUCGAGGGUUCAAGCCCCUUCACUCACCCCA